RNAcentral lists this transfer RNA (67 nucleotides) under Sialis jiyuni. RNAcentral describes it as "tRNA-Trp". The record is from RNAcentral. Lineage: Eukaryota; Metazoa; Arthropoda; Insecta; Megaloptera; Sialidae.
AAGGAUUUAAGUUAAAUUAAACUAAUAACCUUCAAAGUUAUAAAUAAAAAUAAAUUUUUAAGCCUUA